AUGGCUUCUUCAAAGCUUCAAGCUUUUUGGAACCAUCCUGCUGGCCCCAAAACCAUUCAUUUUUGGGCUCCAACAUUUAAAUGGGGUAUCAGCAUUGCGAACAUUGCCGAUUUCGCCAAGCCACCUGAAAAGAUAUCCUAUCCUCAGCAAGUUGCUGUUGCUUGCACUGGAAUCAUCUGGUCACGCUACAGCAUGGUCAUUACACCGAAAAACUGGAACCUUUUCAGUGUAAACGUUGCAAUGGCUGGCACAGGCUUGUAUCAGCUUUCCCGUAAAAUAAGGAAAGACUACUUUGCAGAUGAGAAAGAGGUUGCCGCAUCGCUGGAAGGAUAG
Molecule: ribosomal RNA, 333 nt
Filed under: Triticum aestivum (bread wheat)
Lineage: Eukaryota; Viridiplantae; Streptophyta; Magnoliopsida; Poales; Poaceae
Description: partial small subunit ribosomal RNA
Source: RNAcentral